This is an RNA transcript of Galleria mellonella (greater wax moth), 7499 nucleotides long. RefSeq lists it as uncharacterized. The record is from RefSeq and is a predicted model, not a curated record. NCBI's taxonomy places the organism in Eukaryota, Metazoa, Arthropoda, Insecta, Lepidoptera, Pyralidae. The transcript has 11 exons.
GCACUUUGUGCCGUGCCAUAAGAAAAAAAAAAAACUUACACUGUGUAAUUGGUGUUGUUUUGAUAAAUCUUAAUGUGAAAUUUUAUGCAGUCCUUUUUGUUAUUUUUAAAAUUAUAAGAAGUGGUGGGUCAGAAUGGUGGUAGUACAUCGGUAAUAUAAAAUUUGGAUUCUGUAUAAUUAUUACUUAUGAGUUUUUGUUUACUUUAUAUUUGUGUGUUUACGUGCCGAUUGCCAACGAGUCUUUACUGACGUUCAUGAAUCAAAAUAUUUCACAAAAUGGCGGACAGCCGCCGUCAAGAAUGACUCUUAAUGUGUCAAAUGAUUCAAAUGAAAUCUUGAAUUUGAAUAUAAUUUGUCGAGAUUAUGUUUGGGGUAGAUGUCAUAAAUAUUCACAAUGCAAAUACAGGCAUGAAUGUAGUGUGGAGGAAAUGAAAACAAUAAUACAAUUUUGCCACGAUUUCCAAAAUCCUACUGGGUGCACUCGACCUAAUUGUACAUACUUACACACGACUAGCAAAGAAGAAGAAAUUUUUUUAACUACUGGCCAGAUGCCCAAAGUAUUAGCGGAGCGUCAUUUGGCUAUCAACGCUGCUGCUAAGAUAAUGUAUAGUAAAAAUAAUGCCAAAGACAUGUUUGCCAAAAAACAUGCAACUCCUUAUAUGCCUCCUAAUGCGCCUGUGACGAAUACGCGUCCACUUCAUCCACCACCGUCACAAAUGGAAAUAAAUGGACAGUUUAUGCCCAUGAUAAAUUCGGCAGUACCACCAUCAAUACCACCACCGCCACCACCGCCUCCACCGUCAGAGGUAUCACCCUCUACAUAUACUGGAGCCCCACCUCCACGUGCAGUACCACCAGUGUUAGUCCAGUCAGCACAACCUCCUCAACUUUCAGUAGAUACGAGCAAACCUCCACCUCCCUUGCCGGGUUUCAUCAAGGUGCCUAAUGGUGUAAAAAGGAGUGCAUCAGAACCAGAAGGAUAUAUGAAUUUGUUCUCAGCUGGACCAUCUAAAACGAGAAAAACUGACACCGUCACUGCUGCGCCUCCUUGUACAGCUUGUGUCCAGUGGGAUGCAAGAAGCUCCAUGUUAGACGAGGAAAUCCAGAAAUUGGUGACUGAAGAAAAAUCAAAGGCGCUUGUUAUAAAAAAAUACAAGAAGGAGUUAGAGGUGCUAACAAAUUUUUUGAAAUCCUACAACACUUUAAACCUGAAUCCAGAGCUGGAGCCAGAAAUUGAGGAAGAAUUGCCGACUUCUUCCUCAAGUUCUAUUUCUACUGCCGAUAUAUUGGUAAACAUUUUAAAAAAACGGUCCCAGCCAAGUUCGCUCACAAUGGACGAUGAGAGCAAACUGAAACUGUUUCUUGAAUCAUGGCGGCCGAAGGAAAGCGAGUUCAAUUUUCCGCCGCCCAAGAGUGGGCUUGCGGAGCCCAGUCGAGUGGAAAGCGUGCCGGGUCCGUCUACGUCAUUUGUGACAUCGCUCACGCAAGCACGGCUCUCAGCCUUGGCUCAGGCGUCGCCCUCAGCCUUGGCUCAGGCGACACCCUCAGCGUUGGCUCAGGCGACGCCCUCUACGCCCUCUGUCGGCGCUCCACCGCCCGCCGCCGCCCUCGUUCAGGCUCCUCCGCCCCCCGCCCCCCUCGUUCCAGCUCCUCCGCCCCCCGCCACUCUCACUCAAGCUCCGCCGCACAUUGCCGCCCUCACUCAGGCUCCACCGCCUGUUCUGCAUCCAGGCUGGGCGCCACAGUUCAACUUCAUGCCACCCAUCAAUCCAAGUUUUCCUACAUUUAACUCAUGGGGAGAAAAUUCAACACCGUCUUUCAGUGAACCGACGGCUCAGUUGGCCGUGCCUAGCACCUCUGCGGGCUUAGCUUCAACAUCACAAAAUAUGACGUAUCAUCAUAACAGACAGUCUUGGUGAAAAAGUGUGGAGUUUACCAAUCAUUUACAUGAGUUACAGAAUACAUAGAAAAGCUACUAAGAGAUGCUGGGACAAGAACACUACUACAAGCAAGCUAUGCUUGUUACAUAGGGCACUAGUCGCUCGUCAUUUAUCCGGUGUGGUGGAGUAAUCCGGUUUACGACGCUCGCUUACGCUGUGCCACAACUAAGGGUUACGAAAAAUUAACUUUUUUUUCAUUAUCCUAAAUAAGUAAUUAUAUAAUAUUACUUGAUUAUAAUAAUAUAUUUAGGUAUAUAUGUUUAUCGCGUAGAAACACGACACAACCUAUCUUCACUUAUGUGUUGGUACGUAGUAUUGCUGCUAAAGUAUUUUAAAGAUGCUGAAGAGUUUUUAAAUUAAUUACAUAAAUAAACAUAGUGAAAGAUGUAGAUUUAGAUUGAACGUAGACGUAGUUGCACAUGGAUGAAUUUUAAAUUUUUGUAAGGGCAUAACCCUUACAAAAAUUAAAAUUUUCUAUAAACCCAGUUUAAUUAGGUAUUAAUGUUUUAUUUUGCGUUAGACAGAUUGAUCAAAUUGAUGCAAAAAGGCUCAUCAAAUUAUUACAAAAGGUACCUAGUCACUAAAGUUCUAUCUUUUUUAAUGAUUCAAAAAGUUGGCUCUAUUUGGGUUAUAUUAUAAAAAAAAUUGUGGCAACCCCAUACUUAUUUAUCAGCACAUUAAAAAAGUGCAAUAUUUGUUGUAGUUUUCGACUUAUAUAAUAGAAAAUAAUAAAAAUAAUAGAAAAAAUAAUAGAAUCUUUGGAUAAAUCUUUGUAGGAAAUUCUGUUAGUAACGGAACAAGUAAUGUUAUAUAAAUUAGUACAACAGUCGAGUGCAUCAAAUCUAUAAUAAUUUUGACAGUUACAUUACUUUUUAUGUCACAGAUUCUUAUAAAAUAAUUUUAACAAAGAGUAACAAGACUAAAAAUUUAAUCACAAUAUAUACAGAUGUAAUAUAAAAUAGACGGAAAAUAAAUUACUAUUCAUAAAAACAAUAUUUUCUAUAUAAAAUUUAAAAAAUUUGCAAGUAAUAGCUUUAUGUUUAUGAAAUUGAAAUCAUUUAUUUGCUGGAAUAAGAUACAUUUUUAUAGGUGUUACUUUACAACAAAAAUAGGCCAAUCUUAUUCUGCCACACUGUAGGCGUGCAAAUAUAAAAACUUAUUAAACAAAAAUAAAAAUAAUUUCAUCAUAUAUGUUUAUCAUAUGUUUGAGCUUAACAGAUAAUGCGACUGUAGCAAAAAAUUAUAGUUAAAUGUUAACUGUCAAAAAUUAUAGUUAUCUGUUAAAUGUUGAAAUAUUACAAAUUUGAACUUAACUACUAAUUUAAAAACUGACGUUAAUAAAUUUUGAUGCACAUGGCUGUUAGGCUAAGCUAAAUAAUUAAGAGAUCGUUCUUACUAAGAAUUGAAACUUUAAGAUCUUUGUCAAAUUUUCUCAUAUAAGGUAUUCUGAUAAUAUAUAUUCAAUAAUUAAGUUACAAUUGUGUGUUGUUUACUAUUAACAAGACAUUGUUAUCAUUUUAAAACAAUUUACAUGAAAGUACCCCAAGGGUUAAAUUUAGGGCCUUUACCAUUUACACUGUUUUUUUGUUAAUAUUGGUGCACAUUUUAAUUAUUAUAAUUUCUUAAUUUUAAAGCUAAUUAAAAAUACAUAACUGCGUAGAUGGUUGUACUAAAUUUUAAGAUGAUUUUAAUUUUUAUAUAGGUAUGUUGUCGGCAAUCUGUAUAAUCUGGUAUUAUGUAGAAUACCUAGACAAUGCGUAGAAUACUGAAUGGUUUAGACAAAAUGUAGGAAAUAUUAUGUACUUUGUCUAUGUAUUUUAUACAAAAUCUUUAUCCUGCCGGUAAAGUGUGUACAAGACUAAAGCAGGGAAUGGUUCAACAGUAUAGACAAUUAAAUGAAAAACGUGAAAUGAAAAAAUGAAAAACAGUCAAGAAGUCAAAUUCAAUAUUAUAUCCCGAGUUAUUAAGUAUAUAAGUAUUUUGAUAUUUCCUGUGAAUACUUUAAAUAACUAUUAAUAUAAUCUAACAUAACCUGAAGAUAAAUAUUUUUGAUUGAAAUAAUUAUUAACAAUACCAGCAGUUAUUUUAUACAAUCCGUGAGUAUUUUUUUUAUUGGAUGAAAAUGGAGUGGCAACCCUGCCUGCGCUAAUGGGAUACGCUGGCGGGGCACCAGUGAAGGGUGAUCGAUGAGGAUGAAAAUAGGCCAGUUAGCCCAUCAUGAUGAAUUCAUCAGGAAUUAAUCAUGAUAGUUUCCAGAACCGCGAGGAGGUCGACCUGGUUGGGUAUAUUGCUAGCAAUGGGAUUCUUAGUCUCCAUUACUAACAAUCCCUUUUUCCUCCAAAUCCCUUUCGGGGCAAUGACGUCUAUGCAACUAUUAUUGUAUAGGAUUAUAAAGAGUAAACACAAUACACAGUGAAGUUGGCUUUGAAUAUUUCACAUGUCACAUGCGAAAUUUCAUAUGCUGCGCUAAAUCAUACGUCAAACCAGCUUCAAGGUCACUUCACAAAAAAAGAUGUUGCUGCGUUCAGAUUAAUUCGUGAGGUAUUGGCUACGUUUUUUCGCAGCAAACAACAAAUAGCGAGUUCGACGUUAAGUUAUAAUGGUGAUUUUUGUGAUUGGUUACUGGCGAUAUCACUAUAUAAAAAUAAUGAUUUCAAAAAAGUUAAUUAAAUAUAAUAAUUAUGCCCGAUGUCGAUGGUCAACGAAUUCAUCGCCCAGAAUGCACAUGUAAUGAAUUAAUAGUUUAAGAGACUGUUCAGGAAACUACAUUCGUACAACGUAGUCUGAAAUGGAAUUCGAGAUCAAAAAUGUUUACAAAAGAAUUGCCGUGCCGAAAAAAUAAAUUACUUUAUAUAUAGUCAUAAAUAUGAAAUCGUGUUGCAAUUCUAUGCAUAUAUCGAACAUAUAAUACGAAAUCUUUUAUUUAGAAUAUUUUUUUAAAUAUUACGCAAUACAAGAUUAACUUAUACUUUUUUUUUUUAAAGUAAAAUCUGUAAUACAGCACUUUAAAACAUUUGUCAUAUAACAUUCUUUCUACAUAUUUUUUUUUAUUUGGAUACUAACAGAUCCAAAUAAAAAAUAUUCGUAAUGAUACCACAGAGAUGAUAUAAUUGUGUUAUAUAAUAUAGAGAGAAAAACUAUAUGCCAAGUUGACCAAUCGGUAACGGAUUAGUCCUAUUAAUAUGUUAAAAGCGAAAGUAUAUGUGGAUCGAUGCAUAGAUGGAUGUUUGUUACUCUUUCAAGUAAAAAUUAUUAAAAGGGUUUGAAUGAUAUUUAGUACACAGGUAGCAUAUAGGAUUAUUUAUGUAUUCAUUUACGCGACUAAAGCAGUUGAAUAUAGCUGUUACUAAAUAUACACUCAAAUAAAAUAGAGUAUUAUCUAUCGUUGUGUGUAUAUCAAUUCCAGAAGAUUAAAAUUCAAAAUAAUUACAAUUAAUUGUAUUAUCGGAAUAGACUAAAAAAUAGAUACCCUUAUCAAAUGUGCUUAAUAGGUACACUCAUAAAAAAACAGCACGUAUGACAUUGCGGCCAAAGAAUAAAGUUUAAAAAUUUAAUGUAAUGUUUAAAUUGUCUAUAAAAAUGUUGACAAUCACUGAGAGGUUACAUUAAUAAUCACAUUUCUUUAUUUGCAUUUUUGAUCUCCUUUUCAGACUAAUUUCUAUGACAUAUUAAUAUUUUGUUGGUAUGUAAAAAUUAAAUGUAGUGGUACUUUCAUAUUUAUCGACUAAGUACAUUUAAUUUAUAUAUACAUAUUGUAUGUAUAAAAAGCAAUUGAGUAAAGUAAAUAGGUGAUCGAAAGUAUUGUAGAAAGAAAUAGAUGUCGUUCUGUAUAAUCUAUAUAUGACACCAGAAGGCGCCGUGAUCAUAUAAAUAUUAGUAGUAUUUGGGGGCAUCUAUAAAUUUAUAUAUAUAGGAUAGGUUUUGUGAAUUGUUGGUAUAGGGAAAAAAUGUCGUCCACUUGUUACAGGCAUGCCAUGGCAUGGCAAUAGGCAUUGACAUUCUCUAUACGUCAUUAAAUAAGAGUUUUACAUAGGAAGAGGUACUAUGCAAAAUCUAUGGGGUUUUACUUGCGAUUGCCAUUUCUUUUUAAACGAAAUUUAUUCUAUGGAACAAAUUAGAUUAAAAUGAACCUGAAAACAAAAAUCUGAAUAAUUUUUUGGUUAUUGUCAAUAAAUAACUUUGGUUUAUUAAUGAAAAACUUAGUUGAUUAUUAUUAAAAAUAAAUUGAUCAAAACUUUGGUACAUUAUACACGUGUUAUAUAGAAUGAUAUCUAUUUAUUUCUACAAUGUUUACGAUAUAGUUUAAGCAAAAUUCUAUGAUUUAUGAAUGAUUUCGUGAUGUAUGUACUUAGCUCUGUCGCUAUUAUACAUUACCUACUAGUACAUUUUAAUAUUUUGCAAGUAUUUAAUUAUAUUGUUGAAGAUGGAAUUGUGCACUCUUCUAUGUUAACGGUAUACAAAGGCUUGACGAAUUCACUGAGAAUUAACCACGAUGGUAUCCAGGGACGAUAGCGUGAAGGUCGAUUUGAGAAGAUAUAUUGCUAGCGAAGGCGAUGCUAAUUCCCAUUGCCCACAUUUUGGUGAAAAAAGUGAUAUGAGUAUCAAGUGCAAACUGACGACAUAUAGUGCGCAGACGAAAUAUUGUGUAAUGAACUCAUCUAAAUGUAUAAAUUACUUGUAAGUUACAUAAUACUUAGUAGUGAUAAUUCAAUGCUUCAACUUAAUGUUAUAAUAAUAACAAUGUCAAACAGCAAGAUUAUUAUUUACAAAUAUUUCAUCAUCACUGUAAUAUAACUAGAUCGACUUUAAAUAUCGAUUUUAUUUUCUGUUUUACUGUGUUUUAUACAUAUUGACAUAUUGAAUUUUUCCGGUAACUCGUGCGGCAUUGUAUUUUUUUUAGAAAUGUACAUUUUUAAUUGUGCUUUUUAAUUAUGCUUUUUAAAUUUGCUGACUUGUAAUAUUAUUAUUUCGCUUUAAUCUUUAUUUAGAUUAUUUAAGAUCUGUAUGCAUAUAGUAUAUAGUAUGAUAUAGUUUUUAAAAAUUUAAUAUAAUUACUUAAACAAUCGUAUCGCUAGGGUCCCGUAGUCAGUGGUUAAAAGGGAAGCUUUAUAGGUAAUUUUCAUACAUACAUUUAAAUUAUAUAAUAUGGAAAACUCAUAAGAAUUCAUCUGAUGUUAUUAAAACAGGUCUCAGCGAUAAUGUUCUAACAAUUGUUCAUCCAUGUAAUAUUACCCGAUACAGGCCUAAAAAAGAUUAUAAAUAGGAAUAUUUACCUCUAGGCUCUUCCAACUAUGUACAGAUAUAUGUAGUAAAAAUUGCAACUCAUACCUACUUGUUCUAGUCAACAGUAAAGUAAAUAUUUGUAGAAACAUGAGCAGCCGAUUAAAACUUAUAUAUAAUUCAACUACGGGAUCCUAAUAAAGCGACUCUAAUUUUAUUUAGUUUUUAAUGUCCUUAUAUAAAAUUACUAUGUAAGAUAAAGUUUUGAGGAGUUUACGAUACUAGAACUAUGUGGAAAUUUUCUAAGAAAACAUGUUGAUUAUAAUUAUCUCUGUGGAG